RNAcentral lists this unclassified non-coding RNA (355 nucleotides) under Hevea brasiliensis (rubber tree). The record is from RNAcentral. Lineage: Eukaryota; Viridiplantae; Streptophyta; Magnoliopsida; Malpighiales; Euphorbiaceae.
GCGUGUUAAAUCAUAUAUUUCACUGAAAGAAUUUGAUGAAUCUGUAUAUUUUGCUCAGCUAUGAAGGCAGCAAGAAAAAAAAAUGCCCUCAUUUCCAGCUUUGAUUUUGCAGUUAUACUAGUGAAAACACAAAUUUCUUAUACAGAGAUUCUAAGGCCGCCACAUGGUUUUCUGGGCACAUAAUAUACCCUCCUUAUCUUGAGCAUAAGUCAUGCGAAUCUCCCAAUGCAAGCUUUUCAGUAUUCNNNNNNGGUGGAGAUACUAGAUCCACCUUCUCACGUAUAAUUGCCCACCCGCCAGGCCGCAAUAUUCUAUCCAUCUCCACCACAAUUGAUACUGGAUGCUUACACCUGUU